CGUCGAACUGAUCGAAGAAAUUGCCUUUCGGCUUUGAUUGCGCGCUGAUGUCUGUGGAGCGCGGUACAUCAACGCCGUUCUCAAACUUCGCCAUGGAUGAGGCCACGCGAGCGCGGACACGGAUUGGCAAGAUCAAUUGGCUGGUCGGGAUCAACUCCGAUCUCUUUCGCCACCUUGCUCGCAUAUGCCGAUACUGGGUUCCCAUCGCUCGCCGGAGCCCAGCGAUUGAUAACACCAGAAAUGGUGUUGAUCCCGUGCUUGCUAUGAUACGUUCCGAGCAGGUUUUCGGCU
Molecule: unclassified non-coding RNA, 291 nt
Filed under: Hevea brasiliensis (rubber tree)
Lineage: Eukaryota; Viridiplantae; Streptophyta; Magnoliopsida; Malpighiales; Euphorbiaceae
Source: RNAcentral